AGCCCCUGGCAGUGGACAAAGAGACACCUUGUUAGUAGUGUUGUUCAUAUAUCAGUUAGGGGCAGGGGAGCUGGCUGUCCUUUGCUCAUCCUAGCUUGAUGCUUGGCUUGGUAGACAAAGCUAUUCUAUGCCUGGGACUCAAAA
Grammomys surdaster is the source of this 144-nucleotide small nucleolar RNA. RefSeq annotates it as small nucleolar RNA SNORA48. The record is from RefSeq and is a predicted model, not a curated record. NCBI's taxonomy places the organism in Eukaryota, Metazoa, Chordata, Mammalia, Rodentia, Muridae. The transcript has a single exon.